GGGUCAUCAGGACUGAUUUGCAAAACCAGUAGGAAUGAUACAGAGAUUAGCAUGUCCCCUAUGCAAGCAUGGCACACAAAUUCAUGAAGCUUUCCAUAUUUUA
Molecule: small nuclear RNA, 103 nt
Organism: Mustela putorius furo (domestic ferret)
Lineage: Eukaryota; Metazoa; Chordata; Mammalia; Carnivora; Mustelidae
Source: Ensembl